UAAUACCCCAUAUACUCCGAUUUAUUCGGAGGAAAGCUUUUGCGCUUCGGGAGGGGCCUGCGUAACAUUAGCUUGUUGGUGAGGUAAAAGCUCACCAAGGCUACGAUGUUUAGCUGGUUUGAGAGGAUGAUCAGCCACACUGGGACUGAGAUACGGCCCAGACUCCUACGGGAGGCAGCAGUGAGGAAUAUUCCACAAUGGGGGAAACCCUGAUGGAGCGAUGCCGCGUGCAGGAAGACGCUUUUCGGAGUGUAAACUGCUUUUAAUAGGGAAGAUUAUGACGGUACCUAUCGAAUAAGGACCAGCUAACUACGUGCCAGCAGCCGCGGUAAUACGUAGGGUCCAAGCGUUAUUCGGAAUUACUGGGCGUAAAGCGUACGUAGGCGGUUUGGUAAGUUGGAUGUGAAAUCCUGUGGCUCAACCACAUGGACUGUGUCCAAAACUACCAAACUUGAGCAUAGUAGAGGCAAGUGGAAUUUGCGGUGUAGGAGUGACAUCCGUAGAUAUCGCAAGGAACACCAAUGGCGAAGGCAGCUUGCUGGGCUAUUGCUGACGCUCAGGUACGAAAGCGUGGGGAGCGAACGGGAUUAGAUACCCCGGUAGUCCACGCCGUAAACGAUGAUCACUAACAGUAUGGAGAUUCGACCCUCUGUGUUGUAAAGCU
Molecule: ribosomal RNA, 664 nt
Filed under: uncultured bacterium
Lineage: Bacteria
Description: bacterial SSU rRNA
Rfam family: Bacterial small subunit ribosomal RNA
Source: RNAcentral